This 22-nucleotide small nuclear RNA is filed under the name Arabidopsis thaliana (thale cress). Its description in RNAcentral is "snRNA_16231". Lineage: Eukaryota; Viridiplantae; Streptophyta; Magnoliopsida; Brassicales; Brassicaceae. The record is from RNAcentral.
GUGAUGAUCUUCUGCAUAUUUC